Molecule: ribosomal RNA, 460 nt
Filed under: uncultured bacterium
Lineage: Bacteria
Description: partial 16S ribosomal RNA
Rfam family: Bacterial small subunit ribosomal RNA
Source: RNAcentral
CCUACGGGUGGCAGCAGUGAGGAAUAUUGGUCAAUGGGCGGGAGCCUGAACCAGCCAAGUCGCGUGAGGGAAGACGGUCCUAUGGAUUGUAAACCUCUUUAGGCGGGGAGCAAUGCCGGGCACGCGUGCCCGGAGGGAGAGUACCCGCAGAAUAAGCAUCGGCUAACUCCGUGCCAGCAGCCGCGGUAAUACGGAGGAUUCGAGCGGUAUCCGGAUUUAUGGGGUGUAAAGGGUGCGUAGGCGGAUUUUUAAGUCAGCGGUAAAAUGUCCGGGCUCAACCCGGGCCGGCCGUUGAAACUGGGGAUCUUGAGUGGGCGAGAAGUAUGCGGAAUGCGUGGUGGAGCGGUGAAAUGCAUAGAGAUCACGCAGAACUCCGAUUGCGAAGGCAGCAUACCGGCGCCCGACUGAUGCUGAGGCACGAAAGCGUGGGGAUCGAACAGGAUUAGAUACCCUAGUAGUC